GAAAUUCAACCAAGCGCGG
This 19-nucleotide small nuclear RNA is filed under the name Arabidopsis thaliana (thale cress). RNAcentral describes it as "snRNA_10538". The record is from RNAcentral. Lineage: Eukaryota; Viridiplantae; Streptophyta; Magnoliopsida; Brassicales; Brassicaceae.